GGGAGAGAUGGCCGAGUGGUUAAUGGCUCCGGUCUUGAAAACCGGUAUAGAUAAAAAAACUAUCGAGGGUUCGAAUCCCUCUCUCUCCUU
RNAcentral lists this transfer RNA (90 nucleotides) under Pinus densiflora. RNAcentral's name for it is "tRNA-Ser". It matches the Rfam family "tRNA". From Rfam's summary of the family: Transfer RNA (tRNA) molecules are approximately 80 nucleotides in length. Their secondary structure includes four short double-helical elements and three loops (D, anti-codon, and T loops). RNAcentral also lists the same sequence under 1 other name. The record is from RNAcentral. Lineage: Eukaryota; Viridiplantae; Streptophyta; Pinopsida; Pinales; Pinaceae.